GGGGGUGUACUGGUUUCGACGGGGGCAUCAGAAGUUUGAGCAGCCAUUCGCAGAUCUCCGGGCCUGCGUCAUCAACCUGGUAAUUAAAUUAAACGCAGAAAAAAAUAAUAAUUUUGCAUUUGCUGCCUAAUUAGGCGGCAUGUCUCCCUUUAGUAACCCGUAGCUAAGGGUGAGGCACCAAAAGUCACGGGGAACUUCACUCCCAAAGCUUUGAGGGAGAUGAAGAAUGAUGAAGCUACUAAAGUCUAAAGCCUGUCGUUAGGCGUUAGAUGGAGGGAAUGUCAGUAUAACGACUGUAAUGGGAGAUACUCGAAUGGAUGGGUCUUCGGACAGGGGUUCAAUUCCCCUCACCUCCAUUA
Molecule: transfer-messenger RNA, 359 nt
Filed under: Vallitalea pronyensis
Lineage: Bacteria; Bacillati; Bacillota; Clostridia; Lachnospirales; Vallitaleaceae
Description: Standard tmRNA
Rfam family: transfer-messenger RNA
About the family: Bacterial tmRNA, also known as 10Sa RNA or SsrA, is named for its dual tRNA and mRNA-like properties. Its role is to liberate the mRNA from a stalled ribosome. To accomplish this part of the tmRNA is used as a reading frame that ends in a translation stop signal.
Source: Rfam by way of RNAcentral